GAGGGUAUAGCCCAUAGGUAGAGUGUGUGCUUAGCAUGCACAAAGUCCUGGGUUCAAUCCCCAGUACCUCCG
RNAcentral lists this transfer RNA (72 nucleotides) under Camelus bactrianus (Bactrian camel). It matches the Rfam family "tRNA". From Rfam's summary of the family: Transfer RNA (tRNA) molecules are approximately 80 nucleotides in length. Their secondary structure includes four short double-helical elements and three loops (D, anti-codon, and T loops). RNAcentral also lists the same sequence under 2 other names. The record is from Rfam by way of RNAcentral. Lineage: Eukaryota; Metazoa; Chordata; Mammalia; Artiodactyla; Camelidae.